RNAcentral lists this ribosomal RNA (406 nucleotides) under uncultured bacterium. Its description in RNAcentral is "partial 16S ribosomal RNA". It matches the Rfam family "Bacterial small subunit ribosomal RNA", at positions 30 to 526 of the family's 1533-position model. The record is from RNAcentral.
AUUGAACGCUGGCGGCAGGCCUAACACAUGCAAGUCGAACGAGUGGCGGACGGGUGAGUAAUGCUUGGGAAACUGGCUUAUGGAGGGGGAUAACUACGGGAAACUGUAGCUAAUACCGCGUACCAUACGAUGCGCCCAUGUGGGAUUAGGUAGUUGGUGGGGUAAAGGCUAACCAAGGCGACGAUCCCUAGCUGGUCUGAGAGGAUGACCAGCCACACUGGAACUGAGACACGGCCCAGACUCCUACGGGAGGCAGCAGUGGGGAAUAUUGCGCAAUGGGGGCAACCCUGACGCAGCCAUGCCGCGUGUAUGAAGAAGGCCUUCGGGUUGUAAAGUACUUUCAGUCGGGAGGCGUUACCGACAGAAGAAGCACCGGCUAACUCCGUGCCAGCCGCCGCGGUAAUAC